Molecule: long non-coding RNA, 1938 nt
Organism: Apis laboriosa (Himalayan honeybee)
Lineage: Eukaryota; Metazoa; Arthropoda; Insecta; Hymenoptera; Apidae
Exons: 9
Source: RefSeq, a predicted model, not a curated record
GCGAUUGUUGUUUUGUGCACGCAUUGACAUUUUCUUGAUUUUUUAUUGUGUUUUACAUUUAAAUUGAAGAUAGAACUUCAUCAGAAUGAAAAUUUCAAUCAUCCUUCGUUUGUGAUCAGCAUUUUCUUGUUAAAUCCAAACAUUAUUCAACAUUUUCAAUAGAAGAAUUGGAAUAAGAAUUUUUUAUGGAAAUAUGAAUAGAUAUAAAUUCCCACCUGUAUUUUCUCCUUCGGAUGUGUAUGAUAUUUUCCUUUCUGCCUUGUCCGCGAGCGAAUAUAUCCCAUGUUUAUGGUGUAAUAUUAUAUCGCCAUCACCAUAGUACUUCAAUCUGCAAAAAAUACACUAAUAAAUCAGAAUGAGAGACGAAGAGAAGAGAAUAGAGGAAGAGGUUACAGAAGAAAAAGAAAAAGUUAUAGAAAUAUCAACGCACGCUAUACAUGUGCCAAACGAAUAUGUUUAGAUACCAAUAGAUAAGAGAGAUAAAAAAAGGUAUCUCGAAAAAAAUACGAUGAAAUCCGAAGGAUAAAAUAUUUUCAAUAAGAAUUUUUCAAAAGAAAAGGAGCUUCGUUGAACAAUGAUACAAAUAAAAUUUAAGAAACCAAAUUUUAGUUAUCUUCUCUUUGGAGAAAAUGUUUGAAGGAAUCCUUUUGAAGGAUUUUGGUGAUUAUCGAAGGUGGUUGAAGAAAAAUAAGCAUUCUUUUAGAGUAAGAAAAGAUAUCGAAGAUGGAUAUUUUUGUAAGAGAUGAAUGCUCCAAGAGAUCUCCGGAUGCUGCGCAAGCGUGAUCCCUCGUCUCUUAUUGGCCUUUGAAUCACAACCAAUCCAGAUUCAGAUCUCCCCACUUGUCGAAUGGUCCAGCCUCUCGACCACUCUUGUCAGAAUCACUUUCGCCGCCGCUUCUUAUCAAUUAUCUCCCUCUCGAUUCCAAUUUUUUAUCCCCCCCUUCGUAAACUCACGGUCCAGCAUUAAAAAAAAAAAAAUUCAAAAUUAUUUCAUUAUUCUAUUAAAAUUUUUCUUAUUAAAAUUUCCCAAAAAAUUAAUCGUCGUAACAUUUAAACCGAUAUAUCAUUACUUACAUUCCAUCAAAGUUUCUUGACCUUAGCGAGAGAGAGAGAAGAAGAAUCUUCGUAUUCGUAAUAAAAAAAAAAAAAAAAAAAAAAAAAGGAAGAAGAAAGAGAACGGGGACGCUUUUUGCAUACGAAGCACGGUUUCUCUGGCGCAUAAUCGUUGCGCAAGCAGGGACUUAUCGUCGCGAUGAUAAAGAAGACCGGUUUCCUUCGGCCACGAGGAAAAAUUACACGCGAGGAAAUACAUCGCUCGUUCGAAUCACCGGUCGCUUUCCUCAAACGCAACCGAUUGCGAGCCGGUCUACUUUCGACUUCGUAAAUCAUGCAUCCGAGGCGUAAAAUGUUUUCGUUUGUUUUUGCUUCUUUCUCUUCUUUUUUUUUAUUUUUUCUUAUUUUUAUCUAUUUUCUUAGAAUCGAUGAAAGAAACCUAUUUGUGUAGAAAUUGUACAGAUGAAUAGAAUGAAAUAGAUAAGACAAGAAUGUAUCAAGAUGUGAUAUAUGUUACAAAGAUUAUUUAUAUUUAAUUAAUUUUAUGAAGCAUAGCCAAUAUAGAAAAUUUUUAUGGUUACUAAGGAAGAUACUGAUUCAGGAUUAAGAAAAUAUUUGAUAACAUACCAUAGAUAUUGAAGGCAUAUGUUGUCUUAAUCCGUACGGAAUACUUUGUAUGAAACUCACAUAUAGGUGUGUAGUCAUGAGAUGUUUAACAAAAUUUUCGCAGAGGUACGAUGAAUUUUAUUCGAUUUUAUCGAUGACCGACAUUCUGGAUUCGACUUCCAAUGGAACAGAUUCAAUACGCUAUUUAUAAUAUAACGAUGUUAAUAUUAAUAACCUAUUUGAUGAUCAAUACCUGAUUUGUUCUAAAUAAAUAAUAAA